Molecule: transfer RNA, 77 nt
Filed under: Pseudomonadota bacterium
Lineage: Bacteria; Pseudomonadati; Pseudomonadota
Also listed under: 2 other names
Description: tRNA-Glu
Rfam family: tRNA
About the family: Transfer RNA (tRNA) molecules are approximately 80 nucleotides in length. Their secondary structure includes four short double-helical elements and three loops (D, anti-codon, and T loops).
Source: RNAcentral
GCCCCCGUCGUCUAGAGGCCCAGGACGCCACCCUUUCAAGGUGGAAAUCGCGGGUUCGAAUCCCGCCGGGGGCGCCA